GCAGUGGUGGAUCAGUGGUAGAAUUCUCACCUUGCAUGUGGGAGACCUGGGUUUGAUUCCCAGCCAAUGCC
This 71-nucleotide transfer RNA is filed under the name Loxodonta africana (African savanna elephant). It matches the Rfam family "tRNA". Rfam says of the family: Transfer RNA (tRNA) molecules are approximately 80 nucleotides in length. Their secondary structure includes four short double-helical elements and three loops (D, anti-codon, and T loops). Lineage: Eukaryota; Metazoa; Chordata; Mammalia; Proboscidea; Elephantidae. The record is from Rfam by way of RNAcentral.